GCCACGUUUUACAGGAAGUAAAAAGCUGCAGAGGUCGUUUCACAACAGAUACUUUCUUUAAGAAACUCUCUUUGCCAUGAAAUCACCAUUGUGCAGGGUACCAUCUUCAGUGGUGGAAGAAGCACUCAUAUCUAUGUGAAGAGCAGCAUGUGGUAAUCUGAAGAUAGCACAUCGUCUACUGUCCGACCCCGGGUGAUACUUUAGGUCACCCUUCUUCAUUUUUCAUGGCCGUUAAGCAGGACAAAUGUGAGACUCACGUUUCGCCCCACAAAGUCCAGCCAUUGACCUCCAGGGCUGACACACUGCAGCGGAGCAGCAGUCACUGUGCAGUUACCUGUCAUAAAUCUUUAUCUCCUUGAAUCAUUACUUACCCUCGCUGUCAGGGGACUCCACUCUCCAAUCUUAAAAUGAUAUAUUGGAAAUAGUGCACUCAGGCAGAGCAGAACUGAGCUGAGAAGACAGAUACCAGAGAAUGCAAUGGCAUCCAGAAUUAUUAAUUAUCUGUGCAUACGAUAUAGCCUAUAUAUUUUAUUGAUUUACUAUGAUAUUAAUUAUAACGGCAGAUUUGAUAUAUUGAGAUCUGGUCAUCAGAAACGCUCGUUUAAGCCACUCUGAAUUAUUAAAGUAGACCAAAAUGACAUUUGAAUAAUUGAAGAGUUUUUAGGGACAAAGUCCUUCUGCCACAAACUCUCAAUCAGGAUCAAAGUUGCUUGUCAUAUCACUAAAAGGAGAGUAUAAGAGAGAAUCUGUCAAUGUGUAACAUAGUUUUAUAUUUCCUGGAAACAUCUGAAAAGCUAGUACUUUUCCCAUAAAUCCAGAAAUGAAGUCAGACAGUCAUUCUUAAACUUGAAAUGUUGAGAGGUGACAGAUAUUUAUAAUGCAAAUGCAGAGCACGUCUGUAUCUGUUUUCUUUGAUAGCUGACAUUAAAUGGUAAGACUUGCAAUAAUCUAUAUUUUGGUUAUUGUUAACAGAUCUCAUGAAAAGACCAAACCAACAAAUGCGUUGGUCCGUCUCUCAAUACGUUCCCACUUUCCCAGCCUGCAUGUGGCUCUCAGCUUCAAGCCCAUUGGUUCCUAUUGUGGAUGUAAAUCUUUUAAAAUCAGGUCACAACUAUAUAGAUUCAAUUUUUAAAAAGGUUAAGUAAUUUCCUAAAACAGCUGGGCACUGUAGUUUAAACAGUGUAUUUGUUGGGGACUAUUUUCAGUUGCGGAUUUGGACAGUGGUCAUGUAAUGAAGGAUCAUGUCAGCCAAUGAAACAGUGUGGCUUACUGAUAUGUUUUCAAUAGUUUUUGGACAACAAUGGAUGCCUAUAGCACAGAGGAAAAGGUAGAUCAGGCUUUGGAUACCAACCCUGUCUCCCAGAAAUUACAUCUAUAUAUCACUAAAUUGUUUUCCCAAUUCCACGUUGCUGACAAACGUAAUCGCUGCCUGGAUUAUGUGGUCAGCAGGUGCACAAAGCACAGGACUGUGACACCAGAGUUCAGGUUCACAUUCAGACUCCCAUCUGUGGUUAGGUUUAGCCAGCAAAAGCACUUUGUUAAAGGUUAAGGAAAGAUUGUGGCUUCGGAUGAAUGUUAACAAUCACAUUGUGUCUUUAGUCACUGUGGACAUUUUAUGUAUUAAACCAAGACCCCGAUCUUUCUCUAACCUUUACUAAGUGCUGUGAGUGCCUAAACAUAACCAUAAAAAAGUCUAAGAAUGCAGUUGUCACUAUGAGCGGAUACUGUAUUACAAGAUUUAAUAUUUUGGCGGAAAACAAAUUAAAUAUGCAGAUGUGUGGAAUUCCUCAAUGACAUCAGGGAUUUCCAGCAUGGGUGAAGCAAAUUUAACUAAGAAUGAUAAACAGAAUGACUUCCCAGUGUUUUAUCACACUGUGUCAGGAAGCCUGCUCCUCCAUCACCCCCAGUGAGAAGCCGGGUGUGUCCACCUGUCUGUCCUUCAUCCUGUCCAGUGCUGAGAAAGCAGAUGGAGCACCUCACAAGAUUAGUUUAUCUCAUGCCAAAAACACAUGGCUCAUUUGUCAUAAUGCACCCUUUCCCUUUUGGUGAAGAUUUUUUGCUUUUUUAUUUAAUCAUGUUAGCCCUGUAGUAAAUAAAGAAUCUAUAAAUAUAA
Siniperca chuatsi (mandarin fish) is the source of this 2113-nucleotide long non-coding RNA. RefSeq lists it as uncharacterized. The transcript is spliced from 2 exons. The record is from RefSeq and is a predicted model, not a curated record. NCBI's taxonomy places the organism in Eukaryota, Metazoa, Chordata, Actinopteri, Centrarchiformes, Sinipercidae.